This is a non-coding RNA of Pelobates cultripes (western spadefoot toad), 687 nucleotides long. The record is from the annotation of a GenBank genome assembly. NCBI's taxonomy places the organism in Eukaryota, Metazoa, Chordata, Amphibia, Anura, Pelobatidae.
CUUUCACACACACUGAUAUGAUCAAUAACAGUUCACAGUGAAAUGCAAAAGCUUUAAAAUAGAAUAAUAUGAUGUACAAUGAAUUACUGUACAAUAAACAAAAAUUGGCAUUUACUCUACCAAACACACAUCUCAUGUGUAUGGCAAAAGUGGUACAUAUGUUUUUUACUUACCUUAGCUGCGCUUCUAACACUUCUAUAAUGUUUACUGAGAAGGUGGUACAGGGAACAGUCCCAAUAGUGUUUACUGAGAAGAAGGUAUAGGGAACAGUCCCAAUAGUGUUUACUGAGGAGGAGGUACAGGGGACAGCAGUGUUUACUGAGAAGGUACAGGAAACAGCCUCAGUAGUGUUUACUAAGGAUGAGGUACAGGGAACAGUCCCAGUAGUGUUUACUGAUGAGAAGGUACAGGGAACAGUCCCAGCAGUGUUUACUAAGGAUGAGGUACAAGGAACAGUCCCAGCAGUGUUUACUAAGAAUGAGAUACAGGGGACAGCCCCAGCAGUGUUUACUAAGGAUGAGGUACAGGGAACAGUCCCAAUGAGGAGAAGGUACAGGGAACAGUCUCAGUAGUGUUUACUGAGGAGAAGGUACAGGGAACAGUCCCAAUGAGGAGAAGGUACAGGGAACAGUUUCAGUAGUGUUUACUGAGGAGAAGGUACAGGGAACAGUCCCAGUAGUGUUUACU